AACCUUAUGGACCUGCGGGCGUAUACCUGCGGAAGGAUCAUUAUCGAAUAAACUUGGUCAAGCUGUUGCUGGUCCUUCGGGGCAUGUGCACGCUUGCCACCAAUUUUAACCACCUGUGCACCUUUUGUAGAUUGGAAACGUUUCUCGAGGCAACUCGGAUUGAGGACUGCUGUGCGCAAGCCAGCUGUUCUUGUGUUUCUCAAUCUAUGUUUUCAUAUACUCCUAAUGUAUGUAUCAGAA
This 240-nucleotide unclassified non-coding RNA is filed under the name soil metagenome. RNAcentral's name for it is "partial contains 5.8S ribosomal RNA, internal transcribed spacer 2, and large subunit ribosomal RNA". The record is from RNAcentral.